AAUUUUGAGAGUGUCUGUUUUCCCGGAGUGGUCCUUAUCCACUGGCUGACUACUUGGGAAUCUGAAUACCAAGUUCCGUCACUGUAAGGCCAUGUGUAUUAAAGGAGACACAGAAGUGACCAAGAAGCCUCCUUCAAUCUUCCCAAAGACUCAAUCACCCUCUUAGAUGAAAACAGAGUCCUCACUUUCUGUCUUUCUCAAUGAUGCGCUGGAGAAUUUUGUGCUUCCUUUCACUGAAACCCAGAGAUCAGUAGAGUUGGAGCUCCUUCUUACCAAAGAGAGAAGGCGCACUUUUGCCUAAGAGCCACAGCAAGAUCCCUCUGAACCACAAGCUGCAGCUCUUGCCAAGCCACUUUGAACUUCUUGUAUCUAUGGAUCAGCAGGUGUCAGUGUGUAUCACAGUCCAUCAGAUCUCCUAAUCUCAUGUCUCUAUCGCCAUCUUUACUCACAGACACUCUCCCCAACCAACCUCAUACAUGUCUAAGAUAUGAAUAUUUAGAAAUGUGGAUGAGCCAAGUAUAGAAGCUCGUGACUAAUUGCCUACAUCAAAUAACUCGAAGUGGUCAGAAAAUAAUUGUGCUUUAUUUAGUCUAUAAUUGGAUCUUUUGUAAUAGCA
RNAcentral lists this long non-coding RNA (616 nucleotides) under Homo sapiens (human). Its description in RNAcentral is "HSALNT0306111". The record is from RNAcentral. Lineage: Eukaryota; Metazoa; Chordata; Mammalia; Primates; Hominidae.